UUUUUCCUUUGUUUUUUCUUUCUUCUCCUUUUGCUCCCUUCCUGUUCUCUGCCCCAUCGGCUCUGUUCUCCCUCUUUCUUUCCUGGUUCCUCGUCGGCUUCCAUACGCUCUAACUCUCUCUCUCUCUUGGAUGUUUCUUCACGCCGGUUUCUUGGACGCAACUUCUUUGGGUCCCUCUCUUUCUUUUCCUCACUUUCUGCAGAAAAACACCAGCCUUCUCUCUCGUCAAAAUCACAGAAAAAAUAAAAUCUAGACAGAUCCUUCAAAGAAAUUGGACCAACUCCUUAGAAAUCGUUGUUGGUGGGAUUUUGAACAUUUUGGAGCAAAGCAACCCGAAAAUCAUAUUUAGGGUGCCGCUCUUGGUCUACAGAUCUUGAGAGGUCCUCGGAACGGUUAGAACGGAAAUGGCCAGAUACAAGUACUGGGAGAACAGUCCAAUAGAUAAUUUUUGCUAAUAAGGAACCUAUGCGGAAAGCUGAAGCUGUAGGCAACAACGACUGUCCUGUCAAGAUUAAGCUGGUUGCUCCUCCAUUGUAUGUUCUGACCACUCAAGACUCUUGAAAUUCUAUGAGGUGAAGUGGUGAACGAAAAGGAAUUAUGGGUGGGGACCUUAUUGCUCAUGAAGGGGAGCGCUGUAACAUGGAUUUUCUUGAUCAUAACUUCUUAGCAGUUGAUAAGGGUGCCAUUUUAAGAUUCCAGUUCAAGAUACUAUUUAAAUUAGUUUCUUUUAAAUUUAAUAACUAUUUUUCCCUUUUGUUAAAGUUU
Morus notabilis is the source of this 765-nucleotide long non-coding RNA. RefSeq lists it as uncharacterized. The transcript has 4 exons. The record is from RefSeq and is a predicted model, not a curated record. Lineage: Eukaryota; Viridiplantae; Streptophyta; Magnoliopsida; Rosales; Moraceae.